GCAGUCGUAGCUUAAUGGUUAGAGCGUCAGACUUGUAACCCGAAAGUGAACCUACAGGUCGUGGGUUCAAGUCCAGCAGGGAGGG
Non-coding RNA from Pangasius djambal, 85 nucleotides. Lineage: Eukaryota; Metazoa; Chordata; Actinopteri; Siluriformes; Pangasiidae. The record is from the annotation of a GenBank genome assembly.